AUAAACCCAAUUUCCAUAUUGGCCCCUGAGCCCAGUUUCCACACUGGCCCCUAAGCCCAGUUUCCACACUGGCCCCUAAGCCUAGUUUCCACACUGGCCCCUAAGCCCAGUUUCCACACUGGCCCAUAAGCCCAGCUCGCCUGGCCCCUAUGCCCAGUUUCUACACUGGCCCGUAAGCCUAGUUUCACCUGGCCCUAAAGCCCAGUUU
Molecule: long non-coding RNA, 208 nt
Filed under: Vigna radiata
Lineage: Eukaryota; Viridiplantae; Streptophyta; Magnoliopsida; Fabales; Fabaceae
Description: long non-coding RNA (VRAD_LNC015841)
Source: RNAcentral